UUUGAUGGCGACCGGCGCACGGGUGAGUAACACGUAUCCAACCUGCCGAUGACUCGGGGAUAGCCUUUCGAAAGAAAGAUUAAUACCCGAUGGCAUAGUUCUUCCGCAUGGUGGAACUAUUAAAGAAUUUCGGUCAUCGAUGGGGAUGCGUUCCAUUAGGUUGUUGGCGGGGUAACGGCCCACCAAGCCUUCGAUGGAUAGGGGUUCUGAGAGGAAGGUCCCCCACAUGGAACUGAGACACGGUCCAAACUCCUACGGGAGGCAGCAUG
Molecule: ribosomal RNA, 269 nt
Filed under: uncultured bacterium
Lineage: Bacteria
Description: partial 16S ribosomal RNA
Rfam family: Bacterial small subunit ribosomal RNA
Source: RNAcentral